GCAGAGCAACUAUUCAUCAUAUCCAUGCUAGAGUUUUAUUUAGAUAUAGAUUAGCAUAGCCACUUUAUUUAUUUAUUAAACACACUAAGCAAAAGAUAUAUAUAUAUAUAUAAGCAUAAAAUCUUUAUUUGGUUUUCCAUAGUUAUGUAUUUUAAUAUUCUAAUAUAAUAUAAGUAUAAAGAUAGAUAGAAAUACUUAUCGAGAUAAAUGGGGGUGCUCUCCCCCAAGCUGAAUUUUGACGUAAUUUCUCUUGAUGUAGCUAGCAGGUGGCAGAGGUGUAUUUGAAAGUCAGCAACAUUCUGACAGCGAUUAGAAUGUCCUCCGUCUGCUAGUCUUCUUGAUUCUCAAAAUCUGUGGAGCUCAAAUAGACAACAAAGCUUGUGGAACUUGAUUAAGUGUUAGCAUAAAUAUCUAGCCUUUAUCAUGUUGAGACUCCUUAAUAAUUAUUACUCCCUGUUUUUAUAUUUUCAUUUUUAUAGAGCAGAAAAGAAAUAUUUAUUUUAUUUUUAUGCCACCAGAGUGAAUGUACUUAUGGGUUUUAUGCCACUCGUCUACUCACAUGGGGCUUACUAGUUUUCACAUUUUUAUUUUCUUUUUAGGAUAGCACGAACAUGAUUAACUAAGUAAACUAGUUGAAAUAAUUGAAAGGGAAAUGAUAACUACCAAGUUUACCUCUUGGCAAGGCGUUCGGUGUUUUUAAGUCCUCCGAACGGGACUUUCCUCUUUCUCAAUUGUCCUGGGAUUCGUUGGGUGGCGUAGUUGUUGACGGUCCUUAAGUAUCAAAUUUAAUUAUCAAAUAAAUAAAGAAAAGGAUCCAAAUGAAAUCAAGAUCUAGACUUAGGGUUUUAUCUGACAGAAUUCCACGAGUUUUGGUGUUUGUCUAUUUCUGCAGGGGGUUAUCAGGAAAUAUGGAAGAAAGGCCCACACGUCGGGAUUACGUAAAGAUAUUAACGUGCUGUGCAAUUAUCUUACAUCUAGAAGACUCCAGAAGCCACGAGACCGAAGCGGAGGCAAAACGGGGCCAGAGACAGGG
Molecule: long non-coding RNA, 1033 nt
Filed under: Sorghum bicolor (sorghum)
Lineage: Eukaryota; Viridiplantae; Streptophyta; Magnoliopsida; Poales; Poaceae
Description: long non-coding RNA (SBIC_LNC003239)
Source: RNAcentral